RNAcentral lists this ribosomal RNA (269 nucleotides) under uncultured Planctomycetales bacterium. RNAcentral describes it as "partial 16S ribosomal RNA". It matches the Rfam family "Bacterial small subunit ribosomal RNA", at positions 565 to 832 of the family's 1533-position model. The record is from RNAcentral. Lineage: Bacteria; Pseudomonadati; Planctomycetota; Planctomycetia; Planctomycetales.
GAGCACGUAGGUGGGUUUGUAAGUCAGAUGUGAAAGCCUUCUGUUCAACGGAAGAAUUGCAUCUGAAACUGCGAGUCUUGAGUGUAGGAGGGGAGAAUGUAACUUCUGGCGGAGCGGUGAAAUGCGUAGAUAUCAGAAGGAACUCCGGCGGCGAAAGCGAUUCUCUGGCCUAUUACUGACACUCAGUGUGCGAAAGCUAGGGGAGCAAACGGGAUUAGAUACCCCGGUAGUCCUAGCCGUAAACGAUGGGCACUAAGUAGAGGGGUUUU